RNAcentral lists this ribosomal RNA (130 nucleotides) under Calonectria ilicicola. RNAcentral describes it as "partial 18S ribosomal RNA". It matches the Rfam family "Eukaryotic small subunit ribosomal RNA", at positions 1704 to 1831 of the family's 1831-position model. Lineage: Eukaryota; Fungi; Ascomycota; Sordariomycetes; Hypocreales; Nectriaceae. The record is from RNAcentral.
AGGCGUCCGGACUGGCCCAGAGAGGCGGGCAACUGCCACUCAGGGCCGGAAAGCUCUCCAAACUCGGUCAUUUAGAGGAAGUAAAAGUCGUAACAAGGUCUCCGUUGGUGAACCAGCGGAGGGAUCAUUA